GGGGUAUAGCUCAGUGGUAGAGCUUUCGUUUCGCAUGCGAAAUAUGCGUGGUUCAAAUCCCCGCACCUCCA
Non-coding RNA from Trichonephila clavipes, 71 nucleotides. Lineage: Eukaryota; Metazoa; Arthropoda; Arachnida; Araneae; Nephilidae. The record is from the annotation of a GenBank genome assembly.